Molecule: ribosomal RNA, 400 nt
Filed under: uncultured bacterium
Lineage: Bacteria
Description: bacterial SSU rRNA
Rfam family: Bacterial small subunit ribosomal RNA
Source: RNAcentral
GAUGAACGCUAGCGGCAGGCUUAACACAUGCAAGUCGAGGGGCAGCAUACCCGGCAACGGGUGAUGGCGACCGGCGUAAGGGUGAGUAACGCGUGAGCAACAUACCCGUAUCAGGGAGAUAAUACAGGGAAACUUGUUCUAAUAUUCCAUAAUAUUAUCCAGAGGCAUCUUUGGAUACUUAAAGUUACGACGGAUACGGAAUGGCUCGCGUGACAUUAGUUAGAUGGUAGGGUAAUGGCCUACCAUGACUAUGAUGUCUAGGGGUUCUGAGAGGGAGGUCCCCCACACUGGUACUGAGACACGGACCAGACUCCUACGGGAGGCAGCAGUGAGGAAUAUUGGUCAAUGGGCGCAAGCCUGAACCAGCCAUCCCGCGUGCAGGAAGAAGGCGCUAUGCGUU